GGGAGGUCGGCGACGACCACCCAGGGCCGGAAAGUUGGUCAAACUCGGUCAUUUAGAGGAAGUAAAAGUCGUAACAAGGUCUCCGUAGGUGAACCUGCGGAGGGAUCAUU
This 110-nucleotide ribosomal RNA is filed under the name Pseudocercospora ocimi-basilici. RNAcentral describes it as "partial 18S ribosomal RNA". It matches the Rfam family "Eukaryotic small subunit ribosomal RNA", at positions 1723 to 1830 of the family's 1831-position model. Lineage: Eukaryota; Fungi; Ascomycota; Dothideomycetes; Mycosphaerellales; Mycosphaerellaceae. The record is from RNAcentral.